Molecule: microRNA precursor, 79 nt
Organism: Bison bison bison
Lineage: Eukaryota; Metazoa; Chordata; Mammalia; Artiodactyla; Bovidae
Source: Ensembl
CCAUGUGCCGCCAUGUUCCAAAGAAGUCCGCUGCCUUCCUCUAGAGAGUGGCUUCUUUGGAACAUGGCGGCACGUGGUU